RNAcentral lists this microRNA precursor (133 nucleotides) under Myotis lucifugus (little brown bat). RNAcentral's name for it is "miRNA (ENSMLUG00000030311.1)". The stretch from base 28 to 79 matches the Rfam family "mir-1302 microRNA precursor family". Lineage: Eukaryota; Metazoa; Chordata; Mammalia; Chiroptera; Vespertilionidae. The record is from RNAcentral.
AAUUUUAGAUAAGCAAUGAACAGGUUUUAUUUAGAAUAAGUAUAUCCCAUGCAAUAUUUGGGACAUAGUUAUCCUAAAAAAAUUUAUUUGUUCUUUAUCUGAAAUUCUAAUUUAACUGGGUAGCCUCUAUUUU